UUGAGAGGAUGAUCCGCCCACACUGGGACUGAGGCACGGCCCAGACUCCUACGGGAGGCAGCAGUGGGGAAUUUUGGACAAUGGGCGCAAGCCUGAUCCAGCCAUGCCGCGUGUCUGAAGAAGGCCUUCGGGUUGUAAAGGACUUUUGUCAGGGAAGAAAAGCUUUGGGUUAAUACCCUGGAGUGAAAAAAAAACCUGAAGAAUAAGCACCGGCUAACUACGUGCCAGCAGCCGCGGUAAUACGUAGGGUGCGAGCGUUAAUCGGAAUUACUGGGCGUAAAGCGAGCGCAGACGGUUUGUUAAGCAGGAUGUGAAAUCCCCGGGCUCAACCUGGGAACUGCGUUCUGAACUGGCAGGCUAGAGUAUGUCAGAGGGGGGUAGAAUUCCACGUGUAGCAGUGAAAUGCGUAGAGAUGUGGAGGAAUACCGAUGGCGAAGGCAGCCCCCUGGGAUAAUACUGACGUUCAUGCUCGAAAGCGUGGGUAGCAAACAAGGGUAGAUACCCUGGUAGUCCACGCCCUAAACGAUUCUAAAGGGCUGUUGGGGCACUUGAUGCCUUAGUAGCGUAGCUAACGCGUGAAAUGACCG
This 587-nucleotide ribosomal RNA is filed under the name Neisseria sp. 110. RNAcentral describes it as "bacterial SSU rRNA". It matches the Rfam family "Bacterial small subunit ribosomal RNA", at positions 292 to 871 of the family's 1533-position model. The record is from RNAcentral. Lineage: Bacteria; Pseudomonadati; Pseudomonadota; Betaproteobacteria; Neisseriales; Neisseriaceae.